This 274-nucleotide ribosomal RNA is filed under the name uncultured bacterium. Its description in RNAcentral is "partial 16S ribosomal RNA". It matches the Rfam family "Bacterial small subunit ribosomal RNA", at positions 523 to 796 of the family's 1533-position model. The record is from RNAcentral.
AUACGAAAGGUGCAAGCGUUGUUCGGAUUGACUGGGCGUAAAGAGAGUGUAGGUGGUUUAUUAAGUCGGAUGUGAAAUCCCGGGGCUCAACCUCGGAACUGCAUUCGAUACUGAUAGGCUAGAGUUUGGGAGGGGUAAGCGGAAUUCCGUGUGUAGCAGUGAAAUGCGUAGAUAUACGGAGGAACACCUGAGGCGAAGGCGGCUUACUGGACCAAUACUGACACUGAGACUCGAAAGCGUGGGUAGCAAACAGGAUUAGAAACCCUAGUAGUCC